AGUGAACGCUGGCGGUAGGCCUAACACAUGCAAGUCGAACGGCAGCACAGUAAGAGCUUGCUCUUACGGGUGGCGAGUGGCGGACGGGUGAGGAAUAAAUCGGAAUCUACUUUUUCGUGGGGGAUAACGUAGGGAAACGUACGCUAAUACCGCAUACGACCUACGGGUGAAAGCAGUGGAGCUUCGGACCUUGCGCGAUUGAAUGAGCCGAUGUCGGAUUAGCUAGUUGGCGGGGUAAAGGCCCACCAAGGCGACGAUCCGUAGCUGGUCUGAGAGGAUGAUAAGCGACACUGGAACGUGGACACGGACAAUAGUCCUACGAGAGGCAGCAGUGGGGUAUAUUGGACAAUGGGCGCAAACAUUGCCCAGUCAUCCCGAGUGGGAGACGACGGCCUUCGGGUUGUAAAGACCUUUUGUUGGGAAAGAAAAUCAGCAGGUUAAUACCACGCUAUUCUGACGGUACCCAAAGAAUAAGCACCGGCUAACUUCGUG
RNAcentral lists this ribosomal RNA (492 nucleotides) under uncultured bacterium. Its description in RNAcentral is "partial 16S ribosomal RNA". It matches the Rfam family "Bacterial small subunit ribosomal RNA", at positions 29 to 507 of the family's 1533-position model. The record is from RNAcentral.